Molecule: ribosomal RNA, 542 nt
Filed under: uncultured Bacteroidota bacterium
Lineage: Bacteria; Pseudomonadati; Bacteroidota
Description: bacterial SSU rRNA
Rfam family: Bacterial small subunit ribosomal RNA
Source: RNAcentral
UAAGGAAUAUUGGACAAUGGGCGCAAGCCUGAUCCAGCCAUGCCGCGUGAAGGAUGAAGGCCCUAUGGGUCGUAAACUUCUUUUAUACGGGAAAAAACCCCCGAUUGCGAUCGGGGUUGAUGGUACUGUAAGAAUAAGGGUCGGCUAACUUCGUGCCAGCAGCCGCGGUAAUACGAAGGACCCGAGCGUUAUCCGGAUUUAUUGGGUUUAAAGGGUGCGCAGGCGGACUAAUAAGUCAGUGGUGAAAGCCUGAUGCUCAACAUCAGAACUGCCAUUGAUACUGCUAGUCUUGAGUACGGUUGAGGUGGGCGGAAUGUGUCAUGUAGCGGUGAAAUGCUUAGAUAUGACACAGAACACCAAUUGCGAAGGCAGCUCGCUAAACCGUAACUGACGCUGAGGCACGAAAGCGUGGGGAGCAAACAGGAUUAGAUACCCUGGUAGUCCACGCCCUAAACGAUGAUCACUCGAUGCUGGCGAUACACAGUCAGCGUCUAAGGGAAACCAUUAAGUGAUCCACCUGGGAAGUACGACCGCAAGGUUGC